UGCCCCCAGCAGACACCUGUCUGAUGCAGGUGUUGUGUUAUGAUGCUGCCAUGGGCCCCUGGCUCCUGGGCGGUGUGGUCCUUUGUCUUCUGGGAGCAGGCCCCCUGGAAGCCCAGGUGACCCAGACCCCCAGAUUCCUCAUCACCAAGACUGGAAAGAAGUUGACAGUCACUUGUUCUCAGAAUAUGAACCAUGACUGUAUGUACUGGUAUCGACAAGACCCAGGGCUGGGUCUCAAGCUGAUCUAUUUUUCAAUUAACGUUCAGAUGGUCGAUACGGGAGAUGUCUCUGACGGGUACGCUGUCUCUCGGAAAGAAAAGGAGAACUUUCCUCUGACACUGGAGUCAGCCAACAUCAACCAGACCUCCCUGUACCUCUGUGCCAGCAGUUUCUCACAGCACAGCACAGACAGCUGCUCUCUGCACAAAAAGGGGCAGCCACAAAAACGAGGAGCCUCCUCCCGGGAAGCCAAGAGGAAAACUGCCCCCGCCACCAGUGACCACGGAAGCCCUCGCCACACCCCAGCUUCCGGGACCCUCUGCCAUUGUUAAUGCCCACGGGCCAUUUCUCCUUUCCCCCCUGCUGUACAAAAGAGCUUAUCAAAGUUCAGGAAGGACAAGUCACCCUGAGA
Molecule: non-coding RNA, 631 nt
Organism: Sciurus carolinensis (gray squirrel)
Lineage: Eukaryota; Metazoa; Chordata; Mammalia; Rodentia; Sciuridae
Source: the annotation of a RefSeq genome assembly